GUCCGAGUCGUAAGCAUGCUGCCACAAGAUGGGUUUGUAGGCCCUCUCGAUAUUUCUGGAUUCCGCACCGAUGGCUUUCAUGGCUUUGGUGUCCAGAAAACGUUGGGCUUCGCGUAUGCCUAACGUCGACGCAAUACAGAGAAAGUUCGGGUCUACAAGGGGCGGUCCUUUGGGGUCCACUACGUUAAGACGGACAGUUCCGGUACUCUUGGGAUGCAGCAGAGUCACGGAAAUAGAGAACCCCUGUCUGGAGCCGAAGAUCUUCGCCCCCGAUGCCAGAUAGUCAGUAAAUAUCUGCAGAAACCGACGGAACCACGUGGAAUUGAAUAUCCGGCAUCCCCGGCGGCGUGGCCGAGCCUAACCGGAAGAACGCCAGUUCCGUUAUAGGGGAGACCCGCAGCCAACCUAGGAAUAGGAGAAACAAUGAAGCGGGUGUUCCUGUUAAACCAUGUGUC
Molecule: long non-coding RNA, 455 nt
Organism: Dreissena polymorpha
Lineage: Eukaryota; Metazoa; Mollusca; Bivalvia; Myida; Dreissenidae
Exons: 3
Source: RefSeq, a predicted model, not a curated record